This is a long non-coding RNA of Homo sapiens (human), 652 nucleotides long. RefSeq annotates it as HIF1A antisense RNA 1. The transcript has 2 exons. The record is from RefSeq and is marked validated. Lineage: Eukaryota; Metazoa; Chordata; Mammalia; Primates; Hominidae.
CGCCGCCGGCGCCCUCCAUGGUGAAUCGGUCCCCGCGAUGUCUUCACGGCGGGCGGCCCCCAGGCUCGCUCCGGCCUAAGCGCUGGCUCCCUCCACACGCGGAGAAGAGAAGGAAAGACUACAGUUCAACUGUCAAUUGGUUGAUCACCCGGAUUUUAUCUACACCUUAGCCUAUGGUUGUUCAUCUCGUCUCUGCCUAUGGCCCAUUGACUCCCGGAUCCCAGCUCCAUUCUUCGGUACUUUACGCACCCUGCUUCCAGUACCCCAACCAGAAGAAUAUAUAUAGCAGUUAACUGUCAGCUGGCGAAAAGGAGGAAAAUUCAGGAAGAUAAAAUAGCUGAAUGAAUUAUCCCCGCUCCAGAACGCAGAGGAAAAAUGAAAUGGCCAGACCCAGAUGUUAAAAAUGUGUUCCUUGCUCUUUCCUGCCCUAGCAAGGGCUGUUCCAUGUUUAGGGGAUGAAUGCCGCUGAGAGUAUUAGCAAAAAUACAUGUGUCAUUGAGUCUGAGGAAGAUAACUGAGACAUACAGGUAUUUCUCAUAAUGCAUGUGGGCAUCCAUAGACAUAUUCUUAAAUGGCUUAAGGACUUGGAAACUACCUCUAGGAAACCUGAAACUUGAAUGUUGGUCCACUAGGGAGAAGAAAUGUUCCAUUA